Molecule: long non-coding RNA, 1441 nt
Filed under: Fragaria vesca (wild strawberry)
Lineage: Eukaryota; Viridiplantae; Streptophyta; Magnoliopsida; Rosales; Rosaceae
Description: long non-coding RNA (FVES_LNC004820)
Source: RNAcentral
CUCCAUCUCUUAACACAUAUUUGUCAUCUUGCUUUAGACAAAACAACGGAUCUCUCUUUAGAGCAAAGACCUUGACUAAUCAUGGAAGUAUAUGUAGGCCUCACUAGUUAUAGAGCGCCUAAGCCGAUUGAUCAUCAAUACAGUCAUCUUAUCGAGACUGUGUCUUCCUAAGAUCUUUUUCUUCGGAUGUUGAUACAUAUUGGCAUCUCUUGAUCCAUCAAGAGUCCAUGUAAAUCCGGAAUGAACACGCAAAGGCAUAAUUCACCAUAUCCCUUCCAAAUCAAGUAGAGUCCAUGUGCGUUUCAAUACAUUUAGCAAACGCAUGCUCCUGUGGUUUGGAGCCACUUGAUUCGGAUGAAUGAAGUCCGUUUAAGAUCUUCAUGUAUAUCUCUGAUCCCAUAGAGAUGUUAUUAUGACCACAUUCAUAAGCUGCAUGUUCAGUUAUUCGGAAACUACCAAACUGACAAAGUAGUGGAGUUCAAUGACAUCCAUUACGAGAGCAUAUCUCAUCGUAGUUGAUCCCAGUGCGUGUUAGUGAAAGACCUCGCGCCAUAAGGUGAGUCUAAGCUCUUACUCUCACUACGCUAUCUAACAAAGGCAUAGUUGAUAGGGUUUAGCUUGCGGUGUCGGCAUCACCUGCCCAAGGACCUAUCUCUUUGUUAAUGCUGGAUCAUAUCUUUCCAUUAGGCCAAUCAACUAAGUUGAUAUCCAUCAACUAAGGGUGGUUCGAUAGUAGACUCAUUAUCUCACGUCCUCAUGUACACUAGUGUAAUACUUAUAGAGAUCUCUAUAUGGAUUGGAUUUGACAUUGAGGCGUCCCCCAAUGAUAAUCACAAUUCAGACUUCAUGAGACGGAUUUGAGUAUCACUGAUCAAUGGAUCAGGUUGUGCCAAGCUCGCUUUCUUUCUAGUACAAGACAAUAUCGAACUUAAGGGCCUCCCUCCUUUUAGGGAGCCACACGGCCUUGUGACACUAAUUUUUGCCACUAUAUGGCGUCACCAUAUCACCAUCCAUGGUGAUGGCGUCAAGACCAACACUUUUUGGUCGCGCCAUGUCCUUUUGUAGGACAUCAAUCCUUGCAGACAUAUUUGUAGCAUGUGAUCUUGUCACUUUAACACUAUAAGCAUUUGGGAUCAAGAUGAGACUUAGUGGGGACAAACCACGACAAUUCACGUCGUUCCACUUGAACACUUGUGUUCUUAUCUCCCCCUAACGGCGGGAAUAUUGUCUCAUCAAAGUGACAAUCCGCAAUUUAGCGGUGAAUGAGAUCGCCUGACAAUGUUCCUACAUAUGCGGAUUAUAGGUGGAGGUUCAUAUCCAACCUAAACUUAUUCAUCUCAAAUGACCCAUCAUUGUACACAGUGGCAAUGUGAUUUGGCACCUAGAAAUAACAUCUAGCCGAGCUCAAGGAUUGGAGAUCCGUUUCAAUCCUGCCGAGCUC